RNAcentral lists this long non-coding RNA (1670 nucleotides) under Monodelphis domestica (gray short-tailed opossum). RNAcentral's name for it is "lncRNA (ENSMODG00000045700.1)". Lineage: Eukaryota; Metazoa; Chordata; Mammalia; Didelphimorphia; Didelphidae. The record is from RNAcentral.
AUAUAAUAGAAAUUUUUGUAUAUAUCUAUUUUCUUACUUAUGAAAAGUUUAAAAGCUUGGGCUCAAACUGUCAUCGCUUUUUUUUAACAAUCUAACGGCAUUGCAACGUCUUUGUAUAAUGGCCAACUUCAUUUUUCUAUCUCUAUCAUUGACCCAUCACUCAGGUCUCAAAUUGAUAUUCCUUAUCACAUGACAACCCUAUUCCAAGAUUUCAACUGGCUUCCUAUUGUCAUUACAAAAAAAUACUAAUUCGUCAGCCUGCCUUUAAAAUACUUGACAAUCUGGAUCAUUCCUUUCUACAAAUUGCUCAAGGAAAACUUUUCUACAAGAUGUUCCCAGAAUAUUACAUCACAUUGUCUACCUUCAUACUUUUGCAUGGGGUGUACCUAGAGCUGCAUGUACUCAUCCCCAUGUCUUAAGUCUUAAAUCUCAGGCAACAGCUCUAAAAGUUCAAGUAAUAUUAACUUUUUCCCCUGAUUUUUCCUGUUCUUUCUCUUUAGAAAUAUCUUGCAUUGCACAUCUGGGAUCAUAUUCUAUUCCUCCUUUACAAUGUAAGCUCUUUGAAGGUACCCAGGAUGUUAAUACAAGAAAUGUAAUGUGGAAUUAUAGCAAAAGUUGUCACAAAGAAAAACAAUACUUUAUUCAUUUCCAGCAUUUUUAUUGUUAUUAGUUUCAUAUAAAAUGAUAGCUAUGGGACAAGGCACUAAUAAUAGUGAAUUUUAAUUGGCUGAAAUACUUGUGUUCUUUUCUGAUUCAUAUGCUUUCUACAAAAAGAGAAUUGCAAGAUGUACUUUUCUGUCCCUUUUGAAUACUUAAUAACUUAUAGUGUUGCAUUAGACUUAUUGUAAAACAAAAGAUUCAGAGUGCUAUAAAUAUCCUCUAUGGAUUACACCUCUGCUUAUAUCAAUGUGUAUGGGAAUCAUUUAUAGUGUAAACCUUAAAAGCAUUUCCAAAAAUGCUUUGCAUGAAUUUCUACUAAUAGAACACAUAUAAAUGAAAGAGAUGAUCUAAAUUGAUGUUGUUGUCUUCUAUACUUUCAUAUAUUCAGAGUGAUAGCACUCUAUUCUUUCCAUUUCUUUUUAUGCCCUUCUUUAAACAACUGAUUCUAAAGAAAUGAGUUAUUACCUCCACCUACCUAUACUACACAGGCUAUUGCUGACCCAAAUAGCUGGAUUCACAAUGUAAUCACAAGAUAGUAUUUCCUGGGAAUGUGGAAUGUAAUGUUGCUGGAGACUGCAGUCUCAUUAAUGCUGUAACAGUAGUAUACUUUCAUUCUUGGCAUUUUUAUGGAAAAAAAUAUGAAAUUUUACUCAAGAAAACACUGACCAUAUUACCACAGGGACUGGCAGUUCUCUUUUGGAAAAGAAAAAAAAUGAUUUACUAUAUAUAGUCUCAAAUGUAUGAUUAGUGCUAUAUAGAUUUUCCCUGUUUUUGAGUGUUUAUAGUACCAGUAGGUAAGAUCUGAAAACUCAUGUUUUUUUUUUUUAAGGAAAAACUGUACCCUUAAACAUUACAUAAAAAAUGCAUAUCAAAAACUGAUUCCAAAUGAAAAUUUAAAAUGACAAUUCCAUACAACUUUAUGCAACCAUGGAGAUAAAAUUCUAAUUUCAAAUGAAAUCUCAAUAUGAUUUUAAAGGAAAACUGAAAAAAGUACUGAAUGUAACUUCAUU